UGCCAGACUCCUACGGGAGGCAGCAGUGAGGAAUAUUGGUCAAUGGGCGGGAGCCUGAACCAGCCAAGUCGCGUGAGGGAAGACGGUCCUACGGAUUGUAAACCUCUUUUGCCGGGGAGCAACGGGGUCCUUGCGAGGGCCCGAUGAGAGUACCCGGAGAAAAAGCAUCGGCUAACUCCGUGCCAGCAGCCGCGGUAAUACGGAGGAUGCGAGCGUUAUCCGGAUUUAUUGGGUUUAAAGGGUGCGUAGGCGGGCUGUUAAGUCAGCGGUAAAAUGUCGGGGCUCAACCCCGGCCUGCCGUUGAAACUGGUUUUCUAGAGUUGGAGAGAAGUAUGCGGAAUUCGUGGUGUAGCGGUGAAAUGCAUAGAUAUCACGAAGAACUCCGAUUGCGAAGGCAGCAUACCGGCUCCAUACUGACGCUGAGGCACGAAAGCGUGGGGAUCGAACAGGAUUAGAUACCCGAGUACA
Molecule: ribosomal RNA, 468 nt
Filed under: uncultured bacterium
Lineage: Bacteria
Description: bacterial SSU rRNA
Rfam family: Bacterial small subunit ribosomal RNA
Source: RNAcentral